Molecule: transfer RNA, 88 nt
Filed under: Nitrososphaerota archaeon
Lineage: Archaea; Thermoproteati; Nitrososphaerota
Description: tRNA-Ile
Rfam family: tRNA
About the family: Transfer RNA (tRNA) molecules are approximately 80 nucleotides in length. Their secondary structure includes four short double-helical elements and three loops (D, anti-codon, and T loops). Further hydrogen bonds mediate the characteristic L-shaped molecular structure. tRNAs have two regions of fundamental functional importance: the anti-codon, which is responsible for specific mRNA codon recognition, and the 3' end, to which the tRNAs corresponding amino acid is attached (by aminoacyl-tRNA synthetases). tRNAs cope with the degeneracy of the genetic code in two manners: having more than one tRNA (with a specific anti-codon) for a particular amino acid; and 'wobble' base-pairing, i.e. permitting non-standard base-pairing at the 3rd anti-codon position.
Source: RNAcentral
GGGCCCGUAGCUCAGUUCGGUUAGAGCAACCGACCAAAGCAACCGGCUCAUAACCGGUUGGUCGGGCGUUCAAAUCGCCCCGGGCCCA